AACUCCACCAGCACAGCAGCAAAGGCAAAGAGCCUCCUUGUGGGUGGAUUGGUGGAUGUUCAGAUCAUUCCUCUGAGGACACAGCAGGAGGCCCUCAGGAGAAGGGGAAAAGGAGGAUGAACCAACUCUCCUGAGCAGGCGGGAAUCUCCCCAGGGGGCGAGGGGCGGAGGUGGCAGCUGAGGGACAGAUCUAUGAAGGUGAAGCUGAAGUUCUUGCUUUACACAGUCGUUUCACAGCUGGUUGAAAACUUCUCCCUACCAGGCCUAGAACACACUCUGAUGGUGUGUCACCUUCAGGCACCUCACUCGCCCGAGCUGAGACACCUCAAUGCCUCAGAUUCCUCUUCUUGCCCUCAGCCACCUGACAUUUACUGACCAAGGCAAGUUGCACAGUGAAAUAUAACUUGGAGAGAAAUAUGAGAAAUCAGUGUGGAAGUAUCUGGGGUUUGGGUUUUGUUUUGUUUUCCAUAACCCAAACCAUUGGGCACCACUGAGAACAAUCCAAUUUCUUUUCAUUAAUGCAAACUUCCCUUUUUUCUGAGAGAAGCAGCCAACAGGAAGUCUUCCCUCACCUCUCCACACAACUUUCACUUAACCCCUUAUCUUAUCAGCUCUAAAAUGAGGUUGCAAAACAGCAGUUCACCGUUGUACCUCCGAUAACACAAACCACCAACACUCUCCCGAUUCACCAAGUCAUGGGUCGUUCACGGCCAGUGUCGGGGCAGUUCAUGACCCCAAUCCUGCGAGUUCAGGUCCUUCCUGGUUAUGAAUUGCUGGGGCUUUAAAAGUUGGUGAUAACCUCUCAUUAAAGUUUAUAAGUUCAUAAUUAGGUGGCAGGGCAGGUGCCUUUGGAUGGAUUUCCCUUCUGCAGGGCAUUCAGGGCUCUACAUCCCUGGUGGACCUCUCUUGUCCCAGCUUUCUGCCCUUCCCAGGAACCUGUCCUCCAAAAGGAGCAGCUCUAACACCCACACUAUCUCCACAUUGGUAGUUCACAACAUGGAUUGACUCAAUGGGAAUUUUCAAACAGCUCAGAGGAAGGAGAUGCAUGGAAAACACACCAGUUGCUCAGAACCCCUGACAAGCUGUUGAAGGAAAACCAGAAGGUUUAUACCCAAAAGCUGGGUAUCAAGAAAUAGCUGUGAAAACCUCAGUUUUGCAUUCACCAAAUAGACUAUUGUGGGUUAUUUCUUCCCAUUUCAACGUGACUUGUAUGUUCUACGACGCCAAACAGGAAUAACUUAACAGACAAUUUGGGAACUAAAUAGUAUGAAAGUACAACCAAAGCAAAUUAACUGACGUUGCAGAGCCUGGAGUUAAAACCCAAAUAUGACUCCCAGAGCGUGGCCUUCGGGUUUUUGGUCAGAUUACAGAAAUAUAUGUCAGAUUCCAUUAAAAUGAAAUCCAAACUGG
This is a long non-coding RNA of Pseudopipra pipra, 1410 nucleotides long. RefSeq lists it as uncharacterized. The transcript is spliced from 2 exons. NCBI's taxonomy places the organism in Eukaryota, Metazoa, Chordata, Aves, Passeriformes, Pipridae. The record is from RefSeq and is a predicted model, not a curated record.